This 253-nucleotide ribosomal RNA is filed under the name uncultured bacterium. RNAcentral's name for it is "partial 16S ribosomal RNA". It matches the Rfam family "Bacterial small subunit ribosomal RNA", at positions 524 to 776 of the family's 1533-position model. The record is from RNAcentral.
UACAGAGGGUGCGAGCGUUGUCCGGAAUCACUGGGCGUAAAGGGCGCGUAGGUGGCGUGGUAAGUCAGAUGUGAAAUCCCGGGGCUCAACCCCGGAACUGCAUCCGAUACUGCCAUGCUAGAGGAUUGGAGAGGUAGCUGGAAUUCUUGGUGUAGCAGUGAAAUGCGUAGAGAUCAAGAGGAACACUCGUGGCGAAAGCGAGCUACUGGACAAUUCCUGACGCUGAGGCUCGAAGGCUAGGGUAGCGAAAGGG